This 431-nucleotide ribosomal RNA is filed under the name uncultured archaeon. RNAcentral's name for it is "bacterial SSU rRNA". It matches the Rfam family "Archaeal small subunit ribosomal RNA", at positions 474 to 903 of the family's 1478-position model. The record is from RNAcentral.
UACCUGCAGCUCAAGUGGUGGCCGCUAUUAUUGGGCCUAAAACGUUCGUAGCCGGUUUGGUAAAUGCCUGGGUAAAUUGUGUAGCUUAACUAUACAAAUUCCGGGUAGACUGCCAAACUUGAAACCGGGAGAAGCUAGAGGUACUCCUGGGGUAGAGGUGAAAUUCUGUAAUCCUGGGGGGACCACCAGUGGCGAAGGCGUCUAGCUAGAACGGGUUUGACGGUGAGGAACGAAGCCCUGGGGCGCAAAACCGGAUUAGAUACCCGGGUAGUCCAGGGUGUAAACGCUGCUUGCUUGAUGUUAGUUGGGCUCCGAGCCCAAUUAGUGUCGGAGAGAAGUUGUUAAGCAAGCUGCCUGGGAAGUACGAUCGCAAGAUUGAAACUUAAAGGAAUUGGCGGGGGAGCGACAGCAACGGGUGGAGCGUGCGGUUU